Tenericutes bacterium 4572_104 is the source of this 73-nucleotide non-coding RNA. Lineage: Bacteria; Bacillati; Mycoplasmatota. The record is from Rfam.
GGUCCGGUGGUGUAGUGGUUAACAUGCCAGUCUGUCACACUGGAGAUCGCGGGUUCAAUUCCCGUCCGGACCG